GCUCACGUAGCUUAAACUAAAGCAUAGCACUGAAGAUGCUAGGACGAACCCUAAAAAGUUCCGCGGGCA
This 69-nucleotide transfer RNA is filed under the name Stolephorus insularis. RNAcentral's name for it is "tRNA-Phe". It matches the Rfam family "tRNA". Rfam says of the family: Transfer RNA (tRNA) molecules are approximately 80 nucleotides in length. The record is from RNAcentral. Lineage: Eukaryota; Metazoa; Chordata; Actinopteri; Clupeiformes; Engraulidae.